RNAcentral lists this ribosomal RNA (497 nucleotides) under uncultured bacterium. Its description in RNAcentral is "partial 16S ribosomal RNA". It matches the Rfam family "Bacterial small subunit ribosomal RNA", at positions 28 to 507 of the family's 1533-position model. The record is from RNAcentral.
GACGAACGCUGGCGGCGUGCCUAAUACAUGCAAGUUGAGCGCUGAAGGUUGGUACUUGUACCGACUGGAUGAGCAGCGAACGGGUGAGUAACGCGUGGGGAAUCUGCCUUUGAGCGGGGGACAACAUUUGGAAACGAAUGCUAAUACCGCAUAAAAACUUUAAACACAAGUUUUAAGUUUGAAAGAUGCAAUUGCAUCACUCAAAGAUGAUCCCGCGUUGUAUUAGCUAGUUGGUGAGGUAAAGGCUCACCAAGGCGAUGAUACAUAGCCGACCUGAGAGGGUGAUCGGCCACAUUGGGACUGAGACACGGCCCAAACUUCUACGGGAGGCAGCAGUAGGGAAUCUUCGGCAAUGGACGAAAGUCUGACCGAGCAACGCCGCGUGAGUGAAGAAGGUUCUCGGAUCGUAAAACUCUGUUGGUAGGGAAGAACGUUGGUGAGAGUGGAAAGCUCAUCAAGUGACGGUAACUACCCAGAAAGGGACGGCUAACUACGUG